UACAGAGGAGCCAAGCGUUGUCCGGAUUGACUGGGCGUAAAGCGCACGCAGGCGGAUGCGCGCGUGGGGUGUGAAAUCUGGCCGCUUAACGGCCAGGCGCCAUCCCAUACGGCGCGUCUGGAGUGAUGCAGAGGUCGAUGGAAUUGCCGGUGUAGUGGUGAAAUGCGUAGAGAUCGGCAGGAACACCCAGGGGGAAACCAGUCGACUGGGCAUCUACUGACGCUGAGGUGCGAGAGCGUGGGGAGCGAACCGGAUAGA
RNAcentral lists this ribosomal RNA (258 nucleotides) under uncultured bacterium. RNAcentral's name for it is "partial 16S ribosomal RNA". It matches the Rfam family "Bacterial small subunit ribosomal RNA", at positions 524 to 782 of the family's 1533-position model. The record is from RNAcentral.